UGACGAACUAGGAACAGGAAAAAAAAAUGAGCACACUGCGCAUGUAAACGAAAUACGAAAGAGAAGCGUUAAUUGGCAACGGCAAUCGGAUUUAUACAAUGGUCUCUAUGGCACACCUGGAAGUACCAUUACGAAGAUAUGGAAACCACAAAAGAUUCUGGAUCUAACGCAGCAGGAACCAGCAUGCCCAACUAUGCGAUAAUCAUCCUUGCCAUAAUCAGUGCUUUGCAGCCAUUCUUUUUAGAAUCUUCUAUGUCAUUUGAAUCAAAAUUCACGUUCUUGCGUAGAGAAAAAAUAUAGAAUUACCAACAAAAACAAAGCUGAUAAAUAUGUACAGGUGUUGCAAAUGAAGUUUAAUUACCAAUAGACACCGGCCAUGGCUUCAAUCUCAUAAGGAACAUUUAAACAAGUUGUCAUUUUGAUUUUCACUUUUCUCCAUGCAUACAACACUGUAUCACACAUCCUAGAAGAAAGAUCAACCUCCACGCUGUUUCUAUUUACUCAUUUCAUUAUCAGUUCGUGUACUUCCUAUGAUAUGUUAUCUUCUCUUACUUGUCAUGCUUGAAGAAUAAAAUCAAUUGCAGUCCU
Long non-coding RNA from Octopus sinensis (East Asian common octopus), 588 nucleotides. RefSeq lists it as uncharacterized. The transcript is spliced from 2 exons. NCBI's taxonomy places the organism in Eukaryota, Metazoa, Mollusca, Cephalopoda, Octopoda, Octopodidae. The record is from RefSeq and is a predicted model, not a curated record.